Molecule: ribosomal RNA, 253 nt
Filed under: uncultured bacterium
Lineage: Bacteria
Description: partial 16S ribosomal RNA
Rfam family: Bacterial small subunit ribosomal RNA
Source: RNAcentral
UACGGAGGGUGCAAGCGUUAAUCGGAAUUACUGGGCGUAAAGGGUGCGUAGGCGGUUGUUUAAGUCUGUUGUGAAAUCCCCGGGCUCAACCUGGGAAUGGCAAUGGAUACUGGGCAGCUAGAGUGUGUCAGAGGAUGGUGGAAUUCCCGGUGUAGCGGUGAAAUGCGUAGAGAUCGGGAGGAACAUCAGUGGCGAAGGCGGCCAUCUGGGACAACACUGACGCUGAGGAGCGAAAGCGUGGGGAGCGAACAGG